RNAcentral lists this ribosomal RNA (253 nucleotides) under uncultured bacterium. RNAcentral's name for it is "partial 16S ribosomal RNA". It matches the Rfam family "Bacterial small subunit ribosomal RNA", at positions 524 to 776 of the family's 1533-position model. The record is from RNAcentral.
UACGUAGGGGGCAAGCGUUGUCCGGAUUUAUUGGGCGUAAAGCGCGCGUAGGCGGCUUAUUAAGUCCGAUGUGAAAACUCUCGGCUCAACUGGGAGACUGCAUUGGAAACUGGUAGGCUAGAGUCCAGCAGAGGGAAGUGGAAUUCCAAGUGUAGCGGUGAAAUGCGCAGAUAUUUGGAAGAACACCAGUGGCGAAGGCGGCUUCCUGGACUGCGACUGACGCUGAGGUGCGAAAGCUAGGGGAGCGAACAGG